Molecule: ribosomal RNA, 744 nt
Filed under: Capnocytophaga ochracea
Lineage: Bacteria; Pseudomonadati; Bacteroidota; Flavobacteriia; Flavobacteriales; Flavobacteriaceae
Description: bacterial SSU rRNA
Rfam family: Bacterial small subunit ribosomal RNA
Source: RNAcentral
GAUGAACGCUAGCGGCAGGCCUAACACAUGCAAGUCGAGGGAGAAGCCUUCGGGCUAAAACCGGCGCACGGGUGCGUAACGCGUAUACAAUCUGCCUUUUAUCCGGGGGAUAGCCCGAAGAAAUUUGGAUUAAUACCCUAUGGUAUAAGAGCACGGCAUCGUGCACUUAUUAAAGCUACGGCGGUAAAAGAUGAGUAUGCGUUCUAUUAGCUAGUUGGAGAGGUAACGGCUCCCCAAGGCGACGAUAGAUAGGGGUUCUGAGAGGGAUGUCCCCCACACUGGUACUGAGAUACGGACCAGACUCCUACGGGAGGCAGCAGUGAGGAAUAUUGGACAAUGGUCGGAAGACUGAUCCAGCCAUGCCGCGUGCAGGAUGACGGCCUUAUGGGUUGUAAACUGCUUUUGUAAGGGAAGAAUAAGAGCUACGCGUAGUUUGAUGACGGUACCUUACGAAUAAGCAUCGGCUAACUCCGUGCCAGCAGCCGCGGUAAUACGGAGGAUGCGAGCGUUAUCCGGAAUCAUUGGGUUUAAAGGGUCCGUAGGCGGGCUAAUAAGUCAGGGGUGAAAUCGUUCAGCUCAACUGAGCAACUGCCUUUGAAACUGUUAGUCUUGAAUAGUUGUGAAGUAGUUGGAAUGUGUAGUGUAGCGGUGAAAUGCUUAGAGAUUACACAGAACACCGAUAGCGAAGGCAUAUUACUAACAAUUGAUUGACGCUGAUGGACGAAAGCGUGGGGAGCGAACAGG